CACGUAGGGUGCGAGCGUUGUCCGGAAUUAUUGGGCGUAAAGAGCUCGUAGGCGGUCCGUCACGUCGGAUGUGAAAUUCCAGGGCUCAACCCUGGACCUGCAUUCGAUACGGGCGGACUAGAGUUCGGUAGGGGAGACUGGAAUUCCUGGUGUAGCGGUGAAAUGCGCAGAUAUCAGGAGGAACACCGGUGGCGAAGGCGGUUCUCUGGGCAUGAUCUGACGCUGAGGAGCGAAAGUGUGGGGAGCGAACAGG
This 253-nucleotide ribosomal RNA is filed under the name uncultured bacterium. RNAcentral describes it as "partial 16S ribosomal RNA". It matches the Rfam family "Bacterial small subunit ribosomal RNA", at positions 524 to 776 of the family's 1533-position model. The record is from RNAcentral.